This 117-nucleotide ribosomal RNA is filed under the name Candidatus Dadabacteria bacterium. RNAcentral also lists the same sequence under 1 other name. Lineage: Bacteria; Pseudomonadati; Thermodesulfobacteriota; Candidatus Dadabacteria. The record is from RNAcentral.
CUGGGUGGCAAUACUGAAGAGGCAACACCUGGUCCCAUACCGAACCCAGAAGUUAAGCUCUUCAAGGCCGAUGAUACUGCUCUUGUACGGGAGUGGGAAAGUAGGUAGCUGCCUCGG